Molecule: ribosomal RNA, 492 nt
Filed under: uncultured soil bacterium
Lineage: Bacteria
Description: bacterial SSU rRNA
Rfam family: Bacterial small subunit ribosomal RNA
Source: RNAcentral
AGAGUGAACGCUGGCGGUAGGCCUAACACAUGCAAGUCGAACGGCAGCACAGUGGUAGCAAUACCAUGGGUGGCGAGUGGCGGACGGGUGAGGAAUACAUCGGAAUCUACCUUUUCGUGGGGGAUAACGUAGGGAAACUUACGCUAAUACCGCAUACGCCCUUCGGGGGAAAGCCGGGGAUCGCAAGACCUGGCGCGGAUAGAUGAGCCGAUGUCGGAUUAGCUAGUUGGUGAGGUAAUGGCUCACCAAGGCGACGAUCCGUAGCUGGUCUGAGAGGAUGAUCAGCCACACUGGAACUGAGACACGGUCCAGACUCCUACGGGAGCAGCAGUGGGGAAUAUUGGACAAUGGGCGCAAGCCUGAUCCAGCCAUACCGCGUGGGUGAAGAAGGCCUUGGUUGUAAAGCCCUUUGUUGGAAAGAAAGCAAUCGGUUAAUACCCGGUUGUUCUGACGUACCAAAGAAUAAGCACCGCUAACUCGUGCCAGCAGCCG